RNAcentral lists this ribosomal RNA (497 nucleotides) under uncultured bacterium. Its description in RNAcentral is "partial 16S ribosomal RNA". It matches the Rfam family "Bacterial small subunit ribosomal RNA", at positions 28 to 507 of the family's 1533-position model. The record is from RNAcentral.
GAUGAACGCUGGCGGCGUGCCUAAUACAUGCAAGUCGAGCGAACGGACGAGAAGCUUGCUUCUCUGAUGUUAGCGGCGGACGGGUGAGUAACACGUGGAUAACCUACCUAUAAGACUGGGAUAACUUCGGGAAACCGGAGCUAAUACCGGAUAAUAUUUUGAACCGCAUGGUUCAAAAGUGAAAGACGGUCUUGCUGUCACUUAUAGAUGGAUCCGCGCUGCAUUAGCUAGUUGGUAAGGUAACGGCUUACCAAGGCAACGAUGCAUAGCCGACCUGAGAGUGUGAUCGGCCACACUGGAGCUGGGACACGGUCCAGACUCCUACGGGAGGCAGCAGUAGGGAAUCUUCCGCAAUGGGCGAAAGCCUGACGGAGCAACGCCGCGUGAGUGAUGAUGGUCUUCGGAUCGUAAAACUCUGUUAUUAGGGAAGAACAUAUGUGUAAGUAACUGUGCACAUCUUGACGGUACCUAAUCAGAAAGCCACGGCUAACUACGUG